UNGGCUCUACUAGCCGUGCAGUGAGUUC
Molecule: non-coding RNA, 28 nt
Filed under: Rattus norvegicus (Norway rat)
Lineage: Eukaryota; Metazoa; Chordata; Mammalia; Rodentia; Muridae
Source: RNAcentral